This 3446-nucleotide long non-coding RNA is filed under the name Citrus x clementina. RNAcentral describes it as "Citrus clementina (C. clementina) long non-coding RNA (CCLE_LNC005536)". The record is from RNAcentral. Lineage: Eukaryota; Viridiplantae; Streptophyta; Magnoliopsida; Sapindales; Rutaceae.
CGAAAUCUCAAUCUUUCCAACAACAAUCUCCAGGGCCGCAUUCCAUCAUCUUUGAGUAACCUAACGGCGAUAGAGUCAAUGGACCUCUCCAGUAACAUGCUUUCAGGAAAUAUUCCUCAACAACUCUCAGAGCUCACAUUCCUUGCAGUCUUUAAUGUGUCAGAUAACCUGCUCACAGGGCCAAUACCACGAGGGAAACAGUUCGACACAUUUUUGAAGAGUUCAUUUGAUGGAAAUCCAGGGUUGUGUGGGGGACCUUUGUCAAAAAAAUGUGAAAACUCCGAGGCUUCACCACCAGAAGAAGAUCCGCACUCAGAAUCUGUGUUUGCAUUUGGCUGGAAGACAGUUCUGAUCGGAUAUGCAAGUGGGACAGUAUUAGGAGUGGUACUUGGGCACAGCUUCAGCACAAGAAAGUAUGAAUGGCUUGCCAAGACCUUUCGACUGCAACCGAAAUCUAAUGGGAGGAGGAGGAGAGUCGGGAGACACAGACAACUGAUGUAAUUAACCGUUUUUCUUUUUCUUUUACGAAGGGGCUGUUUUGUUGUGCUUUAAAUUUCUUUUUCCUUCUUUUCUUCGAAGUUUAAUAAACGUUUUAUUAUUGUAUUUUAUUAUUAAUAAACGUUUUCUAAGAAAUUUAGCAGCCUUAAUUUAAACUGAAACUAUCGUGAUUUAGGAUAAUUUCUGGUUAACAUUAUGGACGAGUGGAAGUACCACAAUAAGAGUAUGUGAUCAACUUCAUAAUUUGUCUCCAGCUCUUACUUAUUACUUAAUUCUGGCGCACGCCAUUGACAAUUAAAAUUAACGAAUCCAUGUGGUCAGGGGUCAGGGAUAAUCAUAAUUCAGUGUAGACAAAAAGCAUGGUUAAUAGCCGGCAAGGGAGAAACGCUGGAUUGGUUUUCUUUUUCUUUUCUUUUUUUAAAUGUAAUCUUUCAAUUUUAUCCUCCAUAAUAAUAUAUCUAUAUAAUUUUUUCAGAAAUUAUCUCUACACCACUUUUGUUUUGUCAUAUGUAUAUCCAAUCACCUCAAAAUUUUGGCAUGUUCUUCACUCCACCUUUAUUUUUAAGUUUUUAUCAAUAAACUACUUUGACACUAUAAAAUGAUCAUUUUACCCUUAAAUGAAUUAAACAACUAUUUUAUUAUACAAUAUUUUAAAAAAUUAAAAAAUUAUAAUUACAAGAAUACCCCUGAUUUUAAUAAAAUAAAUAAAUCUCAAAUCUAAUAUGUUAAUUUUUUAUAAUUACAAUUUCAUUUAAAAAUUAUCAUGUUAAUAUUUUGUAAUUAUAAUUUCAUUCAAUUUCUAUAGAGAAGUUUCUUAAUAUUAAUUAUAGGGAAGUUUACAAUAAUUAUAGGGAGUUUUUCUCUCCAUGUUAAUUUUGGUAAACUUCCCUAUACCUAAUUUAAUUAUAAAAAUUAAAUGAAAUUAUAAUUACAAAAAAUUAUGAUUGCAAGGUGUUAAUUUUUUAUAAUUAUAAUUUCAUUUAAAAAUUAUCAUCUAAGAUUUUGGGAUUUAUUUGUUUUAUUGAAUUUAAAGGUAUUCCUAUAGAUAUACUUUUUUAUUUUUUAAAAUUUUCUAGAAUAAAAUAAUCUUUUAAUUCAUUUAGGGGUAAAAUGAUUAUUUUUAAUGUAAAAGUGAUCAAUUGAUAUAAGUUUAGAAAUAAGAUAGUGAAAAAAAUAAUUUAAAAUUUUUUAAUGAUUAAAUAUACAUACGAUAAAAUAAAAGUGGUUCAAAGAUAAUUUUCCUAACUUUUUUUCUUAAUUUAUAUGAUGUUCUGGACCAAGCGCUUGUUUUCAUGUGUUUGUACAAAUCGAUUUUGCCAAAUUCACCGAAUUAUACUAACAAAAAAGGACCAUUUUCGUGACUAGCUUUAUUUUGAACCCAUGACAAUGGCUCUCUAUUCCAACUCCCGCAUCCACAAACCAACGUUUUUUUUUUUUUGUUCUUCUUCCAAAUCUCUAGAUACAACUCAUAGAAAGAACCUAAAAUUUACUUAAAAGAACGCCAUGUGGUUGAUAGAUGCCCAGCACAAUCCCAUAUUUAAUUUUCUUAAGCAACCUUUGUACGUUUAAUAAUUUUGUUCCAACCAAGUUUGGGGGUGAAUUCUCAAAAGCCAUUUGGGUUGAUGCUAUCUCCUCUUGAUAGUACAGACAAAAGCAUGGUCAAUAGCCGAAUAGGAAGAAUACGACACUCAGAAAGAGCCUAAAAUUUUUUAAUCCUAAAAGAAGAUUUGAUUGUGAAUUAAUCCCAGUAACAUCACAUUUGGCGCCGCCUAUAAAAACAUCUCAAUUCUAUGCCUGACCCUCCAAACAAAAUCCUCCAGCCUUCCUAUCAUAGAAAGUUUUAAAAGGAAUUGUGUUUGAUACACUAAGGCCAAGCUGUUAUCCUACAUCUACCUAUUUUGGCUUUUUUGAUUACUCACUGACAAUGAGUAACAAAGGCACAGAAUUGGAAUAUGAGAAGCUCUCAAAUCUGAUCACAGCAAUUAUUCUCUCCAACAACAGUUUUGUAGGAGAGAUUCCAACAUCAAUUGCUAAUUUAAAGGGGCUUCGAAAUCUCGACCUUUCCAACAACAAUCCCCAAGGGCGCAUUCCAUCAUCUUUGAGUAACCUAACGGCGAUAGAGUCAAUGGACCUCUCCAGUAACAUGCUCUCAGGAAAUAUUCCUCAACAACUCUCAGAGCUGACGUCACUUGAAUUCUUUGAUGUGUCGGAUAACCUGCUCACAGGGCCAAUACCACGAGGGAAACAGUUCGACACAUUUGGGAAGAGUUCAUUUGACGGAAAUCCAGGGUUGUGUGGAGGACCUUUGUCAAAAAAAUGUGACAACUCCGAGGCUUCACCACCAGAAGAAGAUCCGCACUCAGAAUCUGUAUUUGCAUUUGGUUGGAAGACAGUUGUGAUUGGAUAUGCAAGUGGGACAAUAAUAGGAGUGAUUCUUGGGCACAUCUUCAGUACAAGAAAGUAUGAAUGGCUCGCCAAGACUUUUCACCUGCAACCGAAAGCUAAUGGGAGGAGGAGGAGAGUCGAGAGACAUAGGCAACGGAUGUAAUUAACCUUUUUUCUUUUUCUUGUAUGAAGGGGCUGCUUUAUUGUGCUUUUAAGUUUCUUUUUCCUUCUUUUCUUCGAAGUUUAAUAAACGUUUUAUUAUUGUAUAUGGACUAUAUUGUCAGUGCAAGCAGGCUAACAAUUUAAUGGUUCUUGGCAAUUUUUCCUCCACCACGGCAUUCAUAUUGGCUGCUGCUUCUUUCUUAUUUUUUAUUCAGUACCUUAUUUGAUUGAAGGAUCAUGUAUUUAAUUAACACAAUUUAAGAUAAUAGUUGUACAAGAUUAAUGCAGCAUUCUCUUUUUCAAAACUUGAAAGGAUAUGAUUUGGAAAAAAAUCAUAUAAUUGACGAUAUAUCAGCGAUUUUGGCAUCAGUACAAAGGUCUGGGAACUUUUUGUAUUUUAC